Lepus europaeus (European hare) is the source of this 228-nucleotide long non-coding RNA. RefSeq lists it as uncharacterized. The transcript is spliced from 3 exons. Lineage: Eukaryota; Metazoa; Chordata; Mammalia; Lagomorpha; Leporidae. The record is from RefSeq and is a predicted model, not a curated record.
AACAAGUACCUUCCAGGGGAGGAACCCUGGGGACUGGCGAAUUUGAGACCCCUCAAGCCAUGAUGUGGUCCCCAGGCAGGAGAGGCUGCUCAUGGAAAAUGUACCCAAGCUCCAUCUUCCUUUGGGACAAGAGUGGACUGGCCAGGCACCCUUUCAUCAGGGGAACCUGAUGAUGUCACUAAAAGAAGCUCAGUUGGAUCCAGUGCCCCAGAACAAUGGCUGGUCAAG